ACAAGCCUGAGAAACGGCUAGUAGGACUAAGGUCUGCAGCAGGCGCGAAACUUACACAAUGCUAGAUUUCAUGAAAUAGCGAUGUAGUGAAGAAAAAUAACGAUGUGAUUGUAUUUAAACAUACUUUCACAAUUGGAAUGAGACGACUCUAAACCAGUCAGUCGAGUAACAAAUGGAGGGCAAGUCUGGUGCCAGCAGCCGCGGUAAUUCCAGCUCCAUUAGCAUACAUUAAAGUUGUUGCGGUUAAAAAGCUCGUAGUUGAAUUUUUAGCGGGCUCUUGUCGGGUGUGAGCCGUCAAGGGGCAUUGGUAAAACAGUGUCCUGGUUCACCACUCACUUGGAGCCCGUUGUUUCGUCACUUAAACGAGUGCGAAGCGGGUCGGCGAGACGCAUCUUCGUGAUGCUCACGACGACAUGUUUACCUUGAGAAAAUUAGAGUGCUCAGAGCAGGCAGUUGGGGUUUAACCACCUCUUUAUGCUUGAAUAAUGUUGCAUGGAAUAAUAGAAUACGGCCUCGGUUCUAUUCUGUUGGUCUUAUAGAACAACAAAUAAGUUGGUUUGGGCACAAAAUGGCUCUCUCUUGAUGUGGUUUAGCUUGCAAUCUUGUUGUCUGGGGCCUAAAAAUCUCAGUACCAAAUUCGAGUUGAAUCGUUAAGCAUCUUGGGUUUGAGUUAGCCCACAAAUCAACUGAGGCAAUGGUUAAAAGAAAUAGUCGCGGCGGCAUCAGUACUGCAUCGUGAGAG
Molecule: ribosomal RNA, 742 nt
Filed under: Abacarus lolii
Lineage: Eukaryota; Metazoa; Arthropoda; Arachnida; Trombidiformes; Eriophyidae
Description: partial 18S ribosomal RNA
Rfam family: Eukaryotic small subunit ribosomal RNA
Source: RNAcentral